GAUUUGGUGCAGAUGUUAAAGCAGGUCCAACCAUUUCGAUAUCUUCACUUCUUAUCAAUCUUGUUGCUCCUUGUGGUGGUAAAUUGAGUUGGUGUAUCGCAAGCAUUAACUCCCUCAAUUGCUCUUGCAUUUGUGCCAUUGCACUCUUCAUUUCAACAAGUUCUGCCAUGAUAACAUUUAGAAGAGAGAAGAUGUCUAAUAUCGCUCAAGAUAAAUAGA
Molecule: long non-coding RNA, 219 nt
Filed under: Physcomitrium patens
Lineage: Eukaryota; Viridiplantae; Streptophyta; Bryopsida; Funariales; Funariaceae
Description: long non-coding RNA (PPAT_LNC005675)
Source: RNAcentral